Molecule: ribosomal RNA, 494 nt
Filed under: uncultured bacterium
Lineage: Bacteria
Description: partial 16S ribosomal RNA
Rfam family: Bacterial small subunit ribosomal RNA
Source: RNAcentral
ACUCAAAUGAAUUGACGGGGACCCGCACAAGCGGUGGAUGAUGUGGUUUAAUUCGAUGCAACGCGAAAAACCUUACCUACCCUUGACAUGUCUGGAAUCUUUUAGAGAUAGAAGAGUGCCCGAAAGGGAGCCAGAACACAGGUGCUGCAUGGCUGUCGUCAGCUCGUGUCGUGAGAUGUUGGGUUAAGUCCCGCAACGAGCGCAACCCUUGCCAUUAGUUGCUACGAAAGGGCACUCUAAUGGGACUGCCGGUGACAAACCGGAGGAAGGUGGGGAUGACGUCAAGUCCUCAUGGCCCUUAUGGGUAGGGCUACACACGUCAUACAAUGGCUGGUACAAAGGGUUGCCAACCCGCGAGGGGGAGCUAAUCCCAUAAAACCAGUCGUAGUCCGGAUCGCAGUCUGCAACUCGACUGCGUGAAGUCGGAAUCGCUAGUAAUCGUGGAUCAGCAUGUCACGGUGAAUACGUUCCCGGGUCUUGUACACACCGCCCGU